This is a long non-coding RNA of Brassica napus (rape), 3714 nucleotides long. RefSeq lists it as uncharacterized. The transcript has 2 exons. The record is from RefSeq and is a predicted model, not a curated record. NCBI's taxonomy places the organism in Eukaryota, Viridiplantae, Streptophyta, Magnoliopsida, Brassicales, Brassicaceae.
AUUUUGAAAAAAAAUUUAUAAAAAUAUUCAAAUUUGAAAAAGUAUAAUUUGAAAACAUAAAAAAAUAUUUUAUUUUUUAUUUUUUAUUUUAUUUAUUUAUUUGAAUAGUUACUUAUUACACAUAUAUAGAGAGAACAAAGGUAUAAGUUUUUUUACCUCUUAGUGGAAAAGAUAUUUUUGAAAAUGUCUCUUUAGUGAUUGUAAACAUAAAUAAUGUUAUCAACAAAAUAGUAAACAUGAAAAUUCCCAAUUAUGAUUUCAAAAGCCCAAGUAUUACUAUAUACUAGUGGUGUGUCCGCGCUACGCGCGGGAUCUAUGAUAAUUGUUCAACCAUAUGUUUAGUAAUGUAUUGAUGUUGAUAAUGUUUAUACUGGGAAUUAGGUCCCGGAUUUUGUGGUGUUGAAAUGGUGGUUAUCAUUGUUGUGUUACUUGAUUAGUACUUAGGUGGUUUUAACUUAUGUACGGCUGUACGCAAUGAUUUAUGGUUUUUGAGUUAGUGGGUAGAGUAAGUUGAUUUGAAGAGAGAAUUUGGAAUGAUGUUCGACCAAUUAUAUUUUUGUAAGGCGGUUGUAUAGUUUGUGUUGUUGCCGUAGCCAUUUUUUAUAGUUUUGUAAGGCAUAUAACUUAAAUGCAACUGAUGGAGUUUAUUGAAGUUCUGUCUAUUCAAUUGUAUAUUCUUAGUGUGUUAUUACUGUGCAUAAGUGUGAAGUAGUGUUUGUUUGCCGUUUCUGUGUUAGUUUAUAUAUUAUUGUACGUUAGUGUUCAGAAAUAUAUUUAAUUUUGCACAGACUGAUGACUGGAUAUUGUAAUUGUUUUUUGGUUAACUGGUUGUGGGCUGUGUUUUGUUACUAUGUGCCAUGUAUUUGGACGACUAUUGAAGCACAAGAACUUGUUUGAUCUGUUGGUAUUGUUUGGAUUGGCUCGGAUUCAUUUUUAUCUAAUUAAUAAUUGUUUCUGGGUAAUAGGUAUGGAGUAAUUAUUUAUUUUUUGUUGAUACUUAGUUUCCCAUUCUAUUUUUGGGGUAAAUUAUGGAGUAUGGAUGAAGAUGGUCUUUGUUUACAUGCUCUCUCAUAGGUGAACAAAAAAAGGUUUAGUUUUCAUCUUAUGACACAUUCAUUUUCAUAGUGUCAGAUUUAACUAUUUUAAUACGAUUUUGUUAUGUAUAUGUGACUAAAUAAAACACAACUUCAUCAUUUGAUGUGGUGUGACGGGGUUGACAUUUUAUAAUAAACAAAAAUUGAAAUUUAAAGUAAGAGUAACACAUAACAUAAAUUGUUUUUUUCUUAUAAUAAUGAUAGAUUUUUUAAUAAAUAAAAGUAAUUUUAAAAUAUUAAAAUAUAAAGAUAUUAAUAUAACUAAUUUUUAUGAUUUUAAAAAUUAAAAUCAAUUUUAUUUGAAAAGUAUUUCAUUGAUUAUAAAUAUAUAUAGAAUAUAAAAUAUUGUAUUUAUAUGAAUAUUUGGCCAAAUAAUAAGAAGAAAAUAAUAUAUGUGAAAUCUUAUAACAUUUUUAAAAUAUGUUGGUGCACCAAUUAAAUAUGAUUGUCUUUAUGAAUGAACAAAGCAGGGAUUUUAUUAUUACUUCUUAAUCUCAUGGGUCAUGGCCAUCACUCGCGGGAGAGAAUGACGAUGGAAAUUCUUCUUGCUUUACUUUUUUUGUAAAUUUUCUUGCUUUACUGAAUUUUCAUAAUUUAAAUUCAGAAACGAAAUAUCUCCGUCUUUAUGCAUAAACACUUAAAAUUUUUCAACUAAUUCUUACAUUCUUCUUCGUAGAGAAAAACCUCAAAAUAAUAAGUAGAAGAUGCAUGAGUUCUCAUAAACGGUUUUUGUGGAAUCUGCGAGAUUUUAAAUUUUUUUUAGAACACAACCUGCGAGUAUAUAUAUGUAAGUGUGUGUGCAGGUAAAAGAUCAAUUUGCAUAGAUAAGCUGGUUUCGUUUGGGAGGCUAGCACUGAGUCAAUACCUUGAAUGUUGUCUAUUUUCCAGGUACAUAAUCACUUUUUGUUUCUUUCUCCUCUGUAUGGGUGGGCACUUCGGUUAUUAUAUCGAUUCGGUUUAGGUUCGGUUUGGUCUGGUUAAUUUGGUUCUAAAAAAAUUUCCAACUGAAUUUAACCAUAAUUAGUUAGGUUUGGAUCGGUUUCGGUUCUGUUUGUAUUCGGCUUGAUUUGUGUUUCGGUUUCGUUCAAUCGGAUUCCCCUAGUUUAGUUCUUUUAAGAGAAAUCAUGUUUGAAAACAUAAACCCAUGGUCACGAAAUCAUCAUGUUGGUUACUAUGAAAAAAAACAUUAUGUAAACUAAAUCCAAUGUAAAACUAAACAAAAAUCUUUUUAAAACCCAUAAAGUUUAGAAGAACACAAUCAGAUCAAAGUUAACUAUCAUAAAUAGAAAAUUAAAAAAUAUUGCUAAUAAUUUCUCUUAAAAAUAAACUAUGUAAAUUAAAUCUAAUAGAAAACUGAAACAAAAACCUUAAAAAUCAUAAAAAGUUGAUAAGAACACAAUCAAACCAAAGUUAACUAAAUUAAAUAGAAAUUUUUUUAAAAAAAUUUUUUAAUAAAGUUAACAGUGACUUUAGCUUUAAACCGAACUAUUUAAUAAUAGACUUUGGUUUGGUUUGGAUCGGUUUCGGUUCAGUUUGUUCGGUUUUUUUGCCCACCCAUCCACGCAUGAGCCAAUAUUUAAACUCUGGAUUUAACACAUGCCUUCAUGUAUUUAUAGAAACAUCUCAUUAAUUGUAUAUAUAUAUAUAUAUAUUAAAAUCAAAUUAGAUUUAAUUGGUGAAAUGUUAGAGUAAUAUAAUGACUACUGUAGAAAAUAUUUCUAUAGAUACCCAAAAGUCAUGAAGAAAAAGUCAAAAGUAGAAAUAUAAAUAAUUAUUAUUAUCGUUUCUCUUUUUUUUUAUCAACUAUUAGCAUUUUUCUCUAAUAAUGAAGAAGAAAAGUAUAGAGUGGGUAAACAUGUCACAUGAAUGCAUAGGUAUGAACAUGUCACCACUCCUCUUUUCUUCCAUCAUCUUGCUUCUGUCGUUUGACUCUCUCCUCACAUUUUUUGGCUUUUCAACUUUUUUCCUAGAACUUCAAUUGCUCUCUAAUUUCAAAAUUGAGACUCCAAAAAAAAUUUGUAUUCAUCUUUUCUUUUCCAUAGAUCUCACUCAAAAGUAGUAAGAAUAAAGUAUUUCUAAGUUUCCCUUUCUCUAUAAUGACUCUCUUUUUCUCUUAAUUUCCCUUUAAGUUUCACCAAUCUCUGUCUUUGUACAAAUAAAUACAUCGGAUCUUAACCUUCAAACAUGAUCUUCCGGAUAAAGUAUCUCAACAAAAGAAGUAAACCCAAAAAGUCGGGCUUCAACGGUGUUGGCACAACAACUGGCUUUCAAGUCGGAUAACAAAAGGUUCAAGGUGGCUGUUUCAGAGUCUAAGGAGGAUUGAGCUUCACGGAGGAACACAUCCUUAUUUAUAGGACGUGGAUUUUCAUAGGACGACUCUGGUGAUGCAGUUAGACGUAGAAGCUAGAUAUGGUAUUUUUGUUCCCCCAAAUUUUUAACAAAAUUUUGGUGCAAAUUUUAGUGAACUAGAUUAUAUUAGAUUAAUGAUAAAGUAAGUUUUUUUUUUGCUAAAUGGUAAAUAUUCAUUAAUGAAAAUGCUAGUUUCUACAAGCUGCUUAAGCCGCAAAGAAAAUGGCAAAAGACUUUUUGGAAUAUAAUGAAUGAAUAUCAUUUUCAAGUU